AUCAGCAGCCAUAUCAGCCCAUACCCUGCAACUCAUACCUGGCAACCCACUGAAGUAAAGCAGGUAUGAGCCUGGUCAGUACCUGGAUGUGAGACCUCCUGGGAAAAACUAAGGUUGCUGCUGGAA
This 126-nucleotide ribosomal RNA is filed under the name Lepisosteus oculatus (spotted gar). Lineage: Eukaryota; Metazoa; Chordata; Actinopteri; Semionotiformes; Lepisosteidae. The record is from RNAcentral.